GCCGCAGUAUUUUGACUGUGCAAAGGUAGCAUAAUUAUUAGUUUUUUAAUUGAAAGCUUGUAUGAAGGGUUGGACGAGAUAAAAUCUGUCUUUAUUUAAAUUACAAUAGAAUUUAACUUUUAAGUCAAAAGGCUUAAAUGUAUAUAAAAGACGAGAAGACCCUAUAGAUCUUUAUUUAAUUAAUAUUUUGAUAAUUUAAGAUUAUUUUAGUUUAAAGUUUUAAUUAAAUUUUAUUGGGGUAAUAUAGAGAUUAAAUAAAUUCUUUUUAUUUAUUACAUUGAUUUAUGAAUAUAUGAUCCAAUAUUAUUGAUUAUAAGAUUAAGUUACCUUAGGGAUAACAGCGUAAUUUUUUUGGAGAGCUCAUAUCGAUAAAAAAGUUUGCGACCUCGAUGUUGGAUUAAAAAUUAGCUUGGGUGCAGAAGCUCAAGAUUUUGGUCUGUUCGACCAUUAAAUUUUUACAUGAUCUGAGUUCAGACCGGCGUAAGCCAGGUCGGUUUCUAUCUUUAUUUAUCUAAAAUAUUUUAGUACGAAAGGACCAAAUAUUUAAUAUAAUUAUAUUUCUUUUUUGAAUAAUAUU
This 577-nucleotide ribosomal RNA is filed under the name Cicindela lusitanica. RNAcentral describes it as "partial 16S ribosomal RNA". It matches the Rfam family "Bacterial large subunit ribosomal RNA", at positions 1930 to 2733 of the family's 2925-position model. The record is from RNAcentral. Lineage: Eukaryota; Metazoa; Arthropoda; Insecta; Coleoptera; Carabidae.